This 80-nucleotide long non-coding RNA is filed under the name Nothobranchius furzeri (turquoise killifish). Its description in RNAcentral is "lncRNA (ENSNFUG00015023509.1)". The record is from RNAcentral. Lineage: Eukaryota; Metazoa; Chordata; Actinopteri; Cyprinodontiformes; Nothobranchiidae.
AGGUUCUGUUUCAGCUGUAAGAUGUUUCAGCUCUUAGAGGUCCUGUUUCAGCUGUUAGAGGUUCUGUUUCAGCUGUUAGA